Anolis sagrei ordinatus is the source of this 975-nucleotide non-coding RNA. The record is from RefSeq and is a predicted model, not a curated record. NCBI's taxonomy places the organism in Eukaryota, Metazoa, Chordata, Lepidosauria, Squamata, Anolidae.
UCCUUUCUCCUUGCUCAUUGUCAGGCUCCAGCCUUUUGAAAAGGCAAGCAUGGGGCAAGCGAGGGACGGCUGAGUCCCCUUGGUUUCUCUGGGCCACCUCGAAACAUAAUGAAGCCUGGCUCCCUGCCAAGGCACGCACGCACACACAUACACACACAGCUUCCUUCUCUGCGUUUCUUUCUCACACACACAACACAUACAUGCCAAAAUGAGCCACCAGCUUCCCAACCAACGCAUCUCCCAAACCCUGGAACUAAACUGCUCAAGGGGAGAGAAGGAAAGCGUCCCAAAUCCUCCUCCAGCCCCCUCUCCAUCUCCCCUGACUUGGGACUGAACGGCCUCUGAUCUCAGGAGAAACUCCCUUCCAAGGAAAACAGUGCCAGGAAAUGCUUCACUGUGAACUGAACUUGUUGAAUUUCUGCCUGCUUCACAGCUUUUGAACUUUAAAGGCACAGAACAGAAGCCAUGCUGGGUGAGGAGAAGAAGUCAGGGUUUGUGUUUUGUGUGCAUGUGCGCAUGUCUGUGUCUUGUGCCUUUGCCUGCUGCUCUUGGCUAUGCGCAGCACCUGUGUCUGAACAAGAACUCGAACCCAGACCUUGCGCCUGUGCCUGCUGCUCCUUGCAAGAUGGGACUACAAGGAUAUAUAUUUUAAAAAAUUGUUAUGGAACAUCCACUUGCAAUUGACUGGUACCAGAGAUAUAGCCAGUACUGGCUUCGCCUCAGGCAACCAAACUUUCCAAAAAUCAAGACAUUAACAGAUGGUGGCAACCACAUGGAGAGAUGAUGUUGCUUAGAGAGAAUCUACUCAUUUCACUCAAGCCGAUAAAGAGUGAAUCCCAGAAGGACACCAUGUAUUCUGAAGAGUUCUGCACUUGGCCCGUUCUUAUCCCUCUCCCUUCUGCUCCCUGUUUCAUCAGCUUCAUUUCUUUUCAUUUUUUUUAGAAAUACAUUUAAAAAAAUAAAAAUAAAACCAAA